Dreissena polymorpha is the source of this 750-nucleotide long non-coding RNA. RefSeq lists it as uncharacterized. The transcript has 3 exons. Lineage: Eukaryota; Metazoa; Mollusca; Bivalvia; Myida; Dreissenidae. The record is from RefSeq and is a predicted model, not a curated record.
AAACCGUUUGGAGGAUUCAGGCAGUUGAUGUUGCUGGCAACAAACUAACUGAUGAGCGGUCUUUGAUUUUCGAUGCAUUUCCACCAACGGUGUCUAACGUAAUACUUGUUUACAAGCAGUAUAAAGUUGAGCAUAUACAACGAUUCAGCGAUUUAAGAAAACUGGCACUCAGUGUUACAGCUACAGAUGAGCACAGUGGUGUAUACGCAAUUAAUGUUGGUGUUACAGAUGGAGCUUCUUACAGAAAUAUCGUGCCGUGGAUAAGCAACAAGGUUGAAUGUUCUGCAACUCCGCAUUGCUACUGCGUGCAGUAGGUAUGUGUCAAAUGUCUUUCCACGUUUUGCAACUAGAUGAAAUAGAUGGAAUAAGAAACCUUUCGAUCCACACGGGAGAAGACAUGUGUAGUGGUCAGUGCUAACUACAUGUGACAGUGGUGAAUUUGGCAGGCUUCUCAACCGUUCAGAUAUAUCAUCUUAAAAUUGAUAUAACAGCACCAGAAACACAAAACGCUGAAAUGGACAUUAUCACGGGAAACAGUUCAUCAAAUUCGUCUGCUGCACGAUUGGAAUGGUCAGGUUUCAAAGACCAAGAAAGUGGCAUUCUUUUUUUCUAUAUAGUGUACCUGAAUGACCUAACUACAUCCACUAUGUUGGACUCUAAUACAACAUCAUACGUAGAGCUGAAUGUGUCUACAAGUACUACUGAAGUAUCGAGAGAUUAUGCAGGAACUCGUUAUAAGUUGUUGCUUUC